This 71-nucleotide transfer RNA is filed under the name Marmota monax (woodchuck). Its description in RNAcentral is "tRNA.Ala". It matches the Rfam family "tRNA". From Rfam's summary of the family: Transfer RNA (tRNA) molecules are approximately 80 nucleotides in length. Their secondary structure includes four short double-helical elements and three loops (D, anti-codon, and T loops). Lineage: Eukaryota; Metazoa; Chordata; Mammalia; Rodentia; Sciuridae. The record is from RNAcentral.
GGGGUUGUAGCUCAGUGGUAGAGUGCUUGCCUAGCACAUGCAAGGCCCUGGGUUCGAUCCUCAGCACCACA